Molecule: transfer RNA, 68 nt
Filed under: Ictidomys tridecemlineatus (thirteen-lined ground squirrel)
Lineage: Eukaryota; Metazoa; Chordata; Mammalia; Rodentia; Sciuridae
Description: Spermophilus tridecemlineatus (thirteen-lined ground squirrel) tRNA
Rfam family: tRNA
About the family: Transfer RNA (tRNA) molecules are approximately 80 nucleotides in length. Their secondary structure includes four short double-helical elements and three loops (D, anti-codon, and T loops).
Source: Rfam by way of RNAcentral
GGGAUUGUGGCUCAGUGGUAGAGCACUCUCCUAGGAUGAGAGGGACCCGAGUUCGAUCCUCAGCACCA